Long non-coding RNA from Astatotilapia calliptera (eastern happy), 1390 nucleotides. The record is from Ensembl. Lineage: Eukaryota; Metazoa; Chordata; Actinopteri; Cichliformes; Cichlidae.
CUGGGGCGCACUGACAGAGGCGAGGCUGCUGGACACUGGCGCCACCUCUGACCACCACCAGUAGGUACCAGUGAAGUGUCUUGCCCAAGGACACAACGACUGAGACUGUCCAAGGCGGGGCUCGAACCGGCAACCUUCCGAUUACAAGACGAACUGUUAACUCUUGAGCCACGAUCGCCUGUUGCCUGUGUGUUUCCCAUGUCUUCAUAAGUUUUUUGUCUGUGUUAGGUGUUAGGUUUCAGUUACUUCCUGUUUUAUUUUGAUAGUUGUGUGUUCUGUGUGCCUUUGUCUUCCCUUGAUUACCUCGUGAGUAUGUUUGUGUCUUACUAUUAGUUUAUCUUCCUGUGAGUUUUCCAUUAUGUAUCACCUAAAUUUGGGGACUGGCAGCUGCUGGAUUGCUACUGAAUAAUGUCAGGGUUUUUUUGUUUUGCUUUUUUUCCAUAAUCUGAGUCUGCAUAUUGGGUUUAGAAAUCAACCAUCCAAAUUUGGAAUAACUUGUUCUUAUCAUUUGGGUGUAAUAUAUGAACAUAGCACUUCUAUUCAGAGCUGGAGUUUUUAGUGGACUAGUUACCAUUUCUGGUCAAAAGUUAACUCAUCAAAUAAUUUUUGUCUUGUCCUUUGCUUUUUCACUGGCAGCAGAAGGCUGGUCUUGCUCAGAUUACUUUGGGAGAAGGUUUCUUACCAUUUGUGUGUUUAUUCACAUGAGUGUUUAUUCAUGUUGUGUCACUGGCCUGUUGGGUUUGUCCCUGUAACAUUGUGGGUUUGUCAACUUUUCUUUCUUUUUUUUUUCAUUCGGUAUAAUAUGUGGCAGCACAGACGUGCUUCACAUCAGUGGAGCCUCUCUGUGUGGAGUUUGCAUGUUCUCCCCAUGCCUGCAUGGCCUCACACCUGGUACAGCCUCUUCGUCCCACAGUCCAAAGACAGCAAUAAUAAAUUUGGCGAAGCUGUGUAAUGGAGUGGGAAUUGUUGUCUGUCUAAGAUUCUCAGUCUACCCAACCCUUUGUUGUGUAACAACCAGUGAGAAUAAAUUGGAUAAGAAAAUGUGAUGAAUGGAUUAAAUUAUCCUCGAAGUUUAUCAUGUGUGUUGUUGUAACAUGAUUGCAGUGGUCAUCUGUGUUUUGAAGAAUUAGGAAACAGCUUACACUGUUUUCCUUUAGGUUUUUUUCCUCUUUGGCUUUGCUUCAACGCCCAUUUUUAUCAGCUUACGCUUACCUGGAAGCCACAGCAACGUAUUUCACAACAAAGUUUCUUGUUCAAGUUUUAUAAAAGCCUUACGGCACUGUCAGCCAAGAUAGGUUGUGAUCCUAAUUUGGAUAAGAAAAUGGAUGGAUGUGAGCUUUCUUUAACAAAAAAAGAAAAAAGAAACUGUCAGCAGUGCUGUACAGCUUUC